AUCAAUUGCAAAGUUAUAUAACAAGUACAUUUAUAUGCACCAAAACAGUGUUAAUAAGUUUUACCAAAUAGCCCAUUUCCCACGUGUUCUUGGUGCAAUAGAUGGUACUCAUAUACGUAUACAGUCUCCAAUGCAAGCAAUCGGUGAAGAAUUUAGGAAUAGAAAAGGUUACUUUUCUUUAAACGUUCAGGCUGUAUGUGAU
Long non-coding RNA from Melitaea cinxia (Glanville fritillary), 202 nucleotides. RefSeq lists it as uncharacterized. The transcript is spliced from 2 exons. The record is from RefSeq and is a predicted model, not a curated record. NCBI's taxonomy places the organism in Eukaryota, Metazoa, Arthropoda, Insecta, Lepidoptera, Nymphalidae.